GCGGCGCGGGGCGCGGGUGGUGCCGGCGCCGUUGCUGGCGGUGGCGCUCGCGGCGGGUGCGACCGGGGUGUUCGAUCUGUCCGUGCGGCG
RNAcentral lists this transfer RNA (90 nucleotides) under Streptomyces olivochromogenes. Its description in RNAcentral is "tRNA-Ser". Lineage: Bacteria; Bacillati; Actinomycetota; Actinomycetes; Kitasatosporales; Streptomycetaceae. The record is from RNAcentral.